Molecule: ribosomal RNA, 500 nt
Filed under: uncultured bacterium
Lineage: Bacteria
Description: partial 16S ribosomal RNA
Rfam family: Bacterial small subunit ribosomal RNA
Source: RNAcentral
AUUGAACGCUGGCGGAAUGCUUUACACAUGCAAGUCGAACGGCAGCACGGGGGCAACCCUGGUGGCGAGUGGCGAACGGGUGAGUAAUACAUCGGAACGUGCCCAGUCGUGGGGGAUAACGUAGCGAAAGCUACGCUAAUACCGCAUACGAUCUGAGGAUGAAAGCGGGGGACCGUAAGGCCUCGCGCGAUUGGAGCGGCCGAUGGCAGAUUAGGUAGUUGGUGGGGUAAAGGCUCACCAAGCCUGCGAUCUGUAGCUGGUCUGAGAGGACGACCAGCCACACUGGGACUGAGACACGGCCCAGACUCCUACGGGAGGCAGCAGUGGGGAAUUGUGGACAAUGGGCGCAAGCCUGAUCCAGCCAUUCCGCGUGCAGGAGGAAGGCCUUCGGGUUGUAAACUGCUUUUGUACGGAACGAAAGGGCUCUCUCUAAUACAGGGGGCAUAUGACGGUACCGUAAGAAUAAGCACCGGCUAACUACGUGCCAGCCGCCGCGGUAA